UGGGGAAUAUUGCGCAAUGGGGGGAACCCUGACGCAGCCAUGCCGCGUGAAUGAAGAAGGCCUUAGGGUUGUAAAGUUCUUUCGGUAUUGAGGAAGGUUGAUGUGUUAAUAGCACAUCAAAUUGACGUUAAAUACAGAAGAAGCACCGGCUAACUCCGUGCCAGCAGCCGCGGUAAUACGGAGGGUGCGAGCGUUAAUCGGAAUAACUGGGCGUAAAGGGCACGCAGGCGGUUAUUUAAGUGAGGUGUGAAAGCCCUGGGCUUAACCUAGGAAUUGCAUUUCAGACUGGGUAACUAGAGUACUUUAGGGAGGGGUAGAAUUCCACGUGUAGCGGUGAAAUGCGUAGAGAUGUGGAGGAAUACCGAGGGCGAAGGCAGCCCCUUGGGAAUGUACUGACGCUCAUGUGCGAAAGCGUGGGGAGCAAACAGGAUUAGAUACCCUGGUAGUCCACGCUGUAAACGCUGUCGAUUUGGGGGUUGGGGUUUAACUCUGGCGCCCGUAGCUAACGUGAUAAAUCGACCGCCUGGGGAGUACGGCCGCAAGGUUA
This 547-nucleotide ribosomal RNA is filed under the name uncultured bacterium. RNAcentral's name for it is "bacterial SSU rRNA". It matches the Rfam family "Bacterial small subunit ribosomal RNA", at positions 355 to 896 of the family's 1533-position model. The record is from RNAcentral.